AUACGUAGGGUGCAAGCGUUAAUCGGAAUUACUGGGCGUAAAGCGUGCGCAGGCGGUUUUGUAAGACAGAGGUGAAAUCCCCGGGCGCAACCUGGGAACUGCCUUUGUGACUGCAAGGCUAGAGUACGGCAGAGGGGGAUGGAAUUCCGCGUGUAGCAGUGAAAUGCGUAGAUAUGCGGAGGAACACCGGUGGCGAAGGCAAUCCCCUGGGCCUGCACUGACGCUCAUGCACGAAAGCGUGGGGAGCAAACAGGAUUAGAUACCCUGGUAGUCCACGCCCUAAACGAUGUCAACUGGUUGUUGGGGAUUUAUUUUCUCAGUAACGAAGCUAACGCGUGAAGUUGACCGCCUGGGGAGUACGGCCGCAAGGUUAAAACUCAAAGGAAUUGACGGGG
Molecule: ribosomal RNA, 395 nt
Filed under: uncultured bacterium
Lineage: Bacteria
Description: partial 16S ribosomal RNA
Rfam family: Bacterial small subunit ribosomal RNA
Source: RNAcentral